This 109-nucleotide ribosomal RNA is filed under the name Caerostris darwini. The record is from RNAcentral. Lineage: Eukaryota; Metazoa; Arthropoda; Arachnida; Araneae; Araneidae.
AACGGCCGUACCAUGCUGAAUAUACCGGUUCUCGUUAGAUCACCGAAGUCAAGCAUCAUUGGGCGCGGUCAGUACUUGGGUGGGUGACCACCUAGGAACACCGCGUGCC